RNAcentral lists this transfer RNA (62 nucleotides) under Amblythyreus gestroi. Its description in RNAcentral is "tRNA-His". Lineage: Eukaryota; Metazoa; Arthropoda; Insecta; Hemiptera; Phymatidae. The record is from RNAcentral.
ACUUAAGUAGUUUAAAUUAAAAUGAUAAUUUGUGGCAUUAUUGAUGUAUUUUACCUUAAGUU